RNAcentral lists this unclassified non-coding RNA (471 nucleotides) under Hevea brasiliensis (rubber tree). Lineage: Eukaryota; Viridiplantae; Streptophyta; Magnoliopsida; Malpighiales; Euphorbiaceae. The record is from RNAcentral.
GGGGUUCUCUGUUUUACUGGUUUACUUCAUUUGUUGCUUUUUCAACUAUCGAAUCAAAGAUAAUACACCACGAUUUUUAUAUGUAAUCUCUGUGUUGGUUAGCUGGUUUUGUUUUUAGUUGAUGGUUUUUAGUAUUCUUUAUAAGGAGUGUUGAAUUGUGGAUAGCUGUCAAUUUAUUCAACUGAAAGUGGGAAUGAUGUUACAUCUAAUUCACUUACUUAACUGUCUUCUCAGCUGUUCUUCAUGUGAUCAUAUGAAUCUCAUUUUCGUUUGUGUUGGAGUAAUUUCUUGUUGGGUUUCGUCAACCUAGUUUGCUUUUGAUAGGACAUUGUACUUGUCAGGCUGAGUUUUUGACUAAUUGUACUAAUUAGAUUAUUGUACUGUUGUUUGUUACCUUGUUAGGGAAAUACAAAGUUCUAUGUGGUUCAGAGUAAGCUGUUCAGUUAUUACGUGUAUAUUUUUUUUCCUUUU